AUUAGAGUUGAUUUCAUCCAUUUCAACCGAACAGCAAAAUAGAAACAGGAAAUACAAGAGCUAUUGUUGCUGUCCGGUUGAAAUGGAUGAAAUCAACUCUAAUCGUUAGAGCCAACCAGCAACAUCCCUGGCCUCCUUCAACCGUUAUUGAAUGCUCCCAUUACCCCCAGUCAAAACUAGCAGUUGAAUGAAAGGGUAGUUGAUUGAGAUUUCAUUCCUUGGUUAAGUUUU
RNAcentral lists this unclassified non-coding RNA (231 nucleotides) under Hevea brasiliensis (rubber tree). The record is from RNAcentral. Lineage: Eukaryota; Viridiplantae; Streptophyta; Magnoliopsida; Malpighiales; Euphorbiaceae.